CGAACAUCAGUGUACAAAAGUUCCUAGAAAAUAUUUCAGGUGUACAUUGAGAUCAAAUUUAACGUAACGAACAUUAAACGAAUUUGCCAGAACAUACUGAUGUGGGUAUAAGAAUCAGACGGAUAUUUUCCAUAAGCGAUAUCCAGCCCCUGAGCGACCAUGUCAGGCCUAUUAGUCUUAUCAAUAACCCUAACAACGAUAAUGACAACAGAAACGACGUAUUUUAUGCAAGUGAGCCUGAAUUCUGUGAGGCAGUUGAAUUUCACGGAUAUUUUAAAUGUACGGAGUAUUCUAGAUUGUGCUAGCAUCUGUUCAGAGAGUUCAGACUGUGAAAUUUUGGCGAAUGACAAUGACAAUUGCUAUGUCAUAAAUUCGUCAACUACUGAAAGAACUGGGGCAACGGAAGUCUCUUCUCUUCAUAUAAAUACUCAACUCAUUGAAAAAUGUACCAGUCACGCCUAUAUUACCUUCUUAGCAGAUGGAUUCUGUUGGAAAGAAUACAACACAAAUUCUGAUUGGUCAACAGCCAGUACCACAUGUGAACAAGAUGGCGGAAGGUUGAUUUUAAUGCGGAAGUGGGAAAUAGAUGUGAAGAAAUUGCGACUUGAAGAUAUGAACUUGACCGCCCCUAGUUAUUUUAUGGGAGGCAGUGAUCUGGAUGUAGAAGGGAAGUGGGUAUGGAACGAUGGAUCGCCCAUGUCCAUGACAGAUUGCUGGAAGUCGGAUCAACCGGACAAUUGG
This is a long non-coding RNA of Patella vulgata (common limpet), 741 nucleotides long. RefSeq lists it as uncharacterized. NCBI's taxonomy places the organism in Eukaryota, Metazoa, Mollusca, Gastropoda, Patellidae. The record is from RefSeq and is a predicted model, not a curated record. The transcript is spliced from 4 exons.